UGCGUAGGUGGCAGUGCAAGUCAGAUGUGAAAGGCCGGGGCUCAACCCCGGAGCUGCAUUUGAAACUGCAUAGCUAGAGUACAGGAGAGGCAGGCGGAAUUCCUAGUGUAGCGGUGAAAUGCGUAGAUAUUAGGAGGAACACCAGUGGCGAAGGCGGCCUGCUGGAUGUUACUGACACUGAGGCACGAAAGCGUGGGGAGCAAGCA
Molecule: ribosomal RNA, 206 nt
Filed under: uncultured bacterium
Lineage: Bacteria
Description: partial 16S ribosomal RNA
Rfam family: Bacterial small subunit ribosomal RNA
Source: RNAcentral